AGCUCAGUGGUAGAGCACAUGCUUAGCAUGCAUGAAGUCCUGGGUUCAAUCCCCCG
This 56-nucleotide transfer RNA is filed under the name Camelus bactrianus (Bactrian camel). It matches the Rfam family "tRNA", at positions 9 to 63 of the family's 71-position model. From Rfam's summary of the family: Transfer RNA (tRNA) molecules are approximately 80 nucleotides in length. Their secondary structure includes four short double-helical elements and three loops (D, anti-codon, and T loops). The record is from Rfam by way of RNAcentral. RNAcentral also lists the same sequence under 1 other name. Lineage: Eukaryota; Metazoa; Chordata; Mammalia; Artiodactyla; Camelidae.